This is a long non-coding RNA of Alligator mississippiensis (American alligator), 2858 nucleotides long. RefSeq lists it as uncharacterized. The transcript is spliced from 2 exons. The record is from RefSeq and is a predicted model, not a curated record. NCBI's taxonomy places the organism in Eukaryota, Metazoa, Chordata, Crocodylia, Alligatoridae.
GAAGGGCAGAGUCCUUGGGGGAGGGGAAGGGAUCUGGCAUUUGACAGCUGACUGGACAGCUGGUCUAAUGAAAAGAUUGCCUCAAAGACUCUCUCCUCAUGUCUGGACAAGCACCAUUUUGGCCUGAUUGGAGCCAAGCGGUGGAGCUGUAUUUUCGGGCGAAGCCUUUUUGGCGAGCUGCGAUUUUCCUCGGCAGUGUCCGCCAGCGCGUCGUUUUUGCAAAUUGUUCCACCGACUCCUGGCCGGGAGCGACCCUCCAAAAUGAGAAUUAUUUCUAAAUGGGGGACGGGAGCCGAACACCAGCCUUGCCCCCGUCCUCAGACCAGUCGCCGAGCUGCCAAGGAGGAUCUGAAUAGACGUACGCCGUCGCCCCCACGAAUCGUGCGUUAGUGAACAACCGCCACUUGCCUGGAGCAAAACGAUACCGUUACCUAGCAGUAGAAGCACCGACAGGGCAAAAUACAGGUGUGGGUUUGGUGAACGCAGAUCAGCCCCGAGACGAAGAAUGGGCAGCGUGACAUUGAAUCCCCUUCGGUCCCUCUCUAAUACAAAACUGUGCGAGAGAAGUUGAAAGGGAGGGAAACGGCCAGGUUGACCCUCAUUUUCUUUGGUGUAAUCGACGAAGAGCACGCAAACACAAGUGAUGUUUCAGUACCGGUUCACUUUCAUUCACAGGCAAUACUCCGAAUAGUCCUCAACAAUAUUCAGGUUUAGAUAUUUUCAGUUUCAUUAUUCCUGAACAAUACUCUGGCACGCACUUUUCAAAUGCCUAAGAUAACAUCUCUGCGUGGGAUCUCUAUUUUAACCCUGGAAACAAACUGGUGUCAUCUGAUGGCUGGCAGCGGUCUCACUGCAGUCAGGGCGUGUGUAAAAACUGGUCACACACAUCCCAGAGUCAGUGGACUCGCAGCAAGGGGGUAUUUGCGUCAGUGUAUUUGCAGAGUAGGCCGUAAACCCUCCCAAAGCUAGAUGUAGGGAGUCCUGGCUUGGCAGGAGCACAUGGAGGAGAAGGAGGGCACUGGUAGCAAGCUGAGGGCUGUCUUCCUCAUCCUCACCAAGAUCUGGGAUUGCACCUCUUUGCAGGUUCCCGUUGUAAGUUUCUUGUGGUGCACGCACUGCAUCUCAGAAGUGUGCUCUCUGUGUUUUGCUCUGUAUAUGGGAAAAGCAAAAAUGUUUUGAGGUUAAACAGUUUAGUAAGUGGGAACUUUGAUUUUUUUUUACUUGUUCUCUGGCAUUAAGGUCUUCAGUGAUAUGUAUUUUUCAUGUUAAGCAUCAAAUAUAUGCCUGGCUCUCUCAUAAUGCUUUUCAUCAGUUGACCUCAAAGUGGGCUACAAAAGAGUUCAGCAUCAUUAUUUCCAUUUCCCAGCUAACCAUUGGCAACAUCCCUCCCUUAAAUAAUGUGAGGCCAUAUUUUUAAAGAUACUUAGGUAUCUAAUUGUCCAUUUGAUUUCAGUGGAACUUUGGCACCUACGUAUCUUAAGGCACGCAAGGUUCUUUGGUAGAUAUGAUAUCUUUUAUUAGACCAACUGAGUAGUUUCAACUAGCCAGGCCUCCCUACAUCUAGCUUUGAGUGUGAUAUCUUUUAUUAGACCAACUGAGUAGUCCCAGCUACUCAGUUGGUCUAAUAAAAGAUCUCACAUCUCCCCAAAGAACCUUGCCUGCCGAUGCCCUUAGACCAACACAGCUACAACUAACACCCCAGCAACAUGUAAAUAUCUUAAAACAUUUGUCCCUCAUAGAGUUAGUUGAGCCCUGGUCCACUUAGGUGCAUAGCUGCAAAGGUGUGUGUGUGUUCCCAUUUAAAUUGAUGGGAAUACUUCCAUUCUUAUUUACUCAUGCACACAACUAGUUGUACAAUCUUAGACUUAUCUAAUGAUAAGACAUACCAGCUGAAUAAAACAAAAAGAGGAGGGGAAGUGUGAAAUACUAAGUAUAGGAUAUAAGCAUCUUUUCUCAGACUUGCCACAUGCAAGAUGUAUUUCUACGUAGUAGUAUUUUUUACUUCUGUUGCUUUUUUUUUAAAUAUUUCAGCUUGGGUUCUAGCUUUUUGUACUUCUACUUCUGCCCCAUUCUUAUUUAUGUUUGGCCCAGUUCUACAAAGACUUUAGAUCCCAUUUAAAAUUGUGACGUAUCUUUCAGCUGCGUAUUCAAAAUUGGUGACUUCUUUUGAAGUUAUCCCUAUUGCAUCAAAAAAAGAAAAGACUGCGUUAAUAGCUAGUGUGUGUUACCAGCUGAGUUCGAUGUUAGAAUUCUGAAUCGUGCUAUUUGAGUUUACUAUAAAAAUCAACAGAUAUGAAAGCAUUAGGAAUUAUUUUUAAUGUUUGUUUUCUUCAUAACCAGUGGUACAGUAUGUUGCUUUUAUGUGCAAGAGCAUGAGAGAAUUAUGGGAAUGCCAGCAUGGGGCAUGGGAAGGACUUAUUGGACUCAGCUUCAUAGUAUGUCCAUGUUGAGACACUGAUGGAAAUAUUUUUGCAACAAGACUUCUAUAUUGUUGGGCAAAAAGACGAAUGUUUACAUAUGCUAAAACAGUCUGACCAACUAUGUGAGAUGAAUGCUUUUGCAUUAAUGAGGAAAUUUAGAAAGGCAAUACGUGUGUCAUCUAACAGAAAAAAGAAUGUUAAUAAAUGUACUAGAACUGUGAAGUGUGAUAGAGAACAGUUUCUAUGAUAUCCAGAAACUAGAUAUUUCUAGAUGUGCUUUUUCUCAAUCAGACGUGUGCUCCGUUAGGUGAGAUAUGAGCGCUGGAGAUGGAGCUGAAUUCCAGUUCCAAGUCUAGUUCUGAUGUUGGCCAAAAUGCUACCAACCACACUUUCACAGCAUCCAUUUCUGUAGAUUGGAAAUAAAGAUAUUUACUGGUA